CUGAUAUGUCAUAAAGGACCCCUGUCAUGUCUCACCAUCAGGAAAGCGGGACGGAAGGUUCCAGUUAUUUGUUUUUGGAAAUAGCAGUUGUGUCAAAAACUAAGAAGAAAAGUGCUUUCGAAGGAAAGGUGUCUUCCCAAAAACUUCAGGGAGUUCAAGAAUGUAAGGGUGAAUCUUUUCCAAGGGUUAAACUAAGCCUCUCCAUUUAAAAUUCCGGGAUCAGGACACCUAAUGAGAGGUCAUGUGAGCAGGAGUCCAUAGACCCAUGUGCAGAAAUCUCAAAUCAAUGGAUUUGAAGCAUGUGAGUACCAAUAGGUGGGGCCCGUUAAACUCACUCCUUCACAACCAAAUGCAGCAGGGGAUCCUCAAGCCAUAAAAGGACAUUAGUGGACAAAUUGGGGCAACUCAACCAGGGCUCGUGUGAAGCAACUAGUAUUGUAUCAGUGAUGAUUUCCUGUUUUGGGUAAUGGCAUCACCAUUACAGAAGACAUUAACAUACAGGGCAGUGGGGUGAAGGGUCUAAGUCAAUGCUCUGUACCACUUUUGCAACUUUUCUGUGAGUCAGAAAUUAUUUUACAACAAACAUUUAAAAGGAAUGUGUACUAUAUAUAUUCCAAAAGGUUGGAAAGCCAGAGAAUGAACAACCAUUGUAAUCACAUGGGGGACAUGAGAGUCAGCCAGUGCCUCCUUCCAAAGCUCCUUUGGUAAGGUGUCUUCAAGCCAGUGGGAGGAAUGCUAGGGUUGUAAUCUGAGAGCACUGUCACAUGAGUGCCAUGGUUUUUACAUAACCACACUGCGGCUCCCGUGUGCACACUGACCCCUGGGAAAUGUCGGCGGCCUCGAUGGAAGAAUCUGGAAGGGAGAUGUGCUGUCCAUCAGUGGGCAGAGAGGUCACAGCAGAGCACUGUGGCCUGAUUGCACAGUGGCUGGCCUAGAGCCAAUGCCCAAGAAGUUCUUGUGAGGUUGAGUCCUGCAGGGUGAGUCGUGGCCAGUGAACACAUGAGCCACAGGAUUUCCAGAAGCAUAACUGACAAGGACAAACCUCCAACCUAAGGAGGGUGUUUGGGUUGUUCCCGAAACACCGAUGUCAUCAAGAAGGGUGGUUUUGCAAGACUGCAAAGAUGAUCUGAAAGGAGGCAGCACAUUCAGAAUCUACGUCUGGGGGUCUGGAAGGGAGGUGAAGUUAGUAGCAAACUUUUGAGACAAGGGCCAUGACUUUCAGAGGGCACAUGUCACAAAAACCUGGUGUGCCCAGAUGGGUUUGAAAUGGGCCAGUGCAAUCAAGGCAUCGCAAGUGGUCCUGGGAUGACCAUCAACUUCUCCCAUCCCCCUAGUGGUGAGUUUUUCUCUUUCCCCUUCAUUCUAUGUAAAACCAGAGAAGCCUGAGUCUCCUCUGAGCUCCGCAAUCCGGGAGCCCUUCACUCAGCCCACUAGUUCAGGAGGGACCCAGUGAGGGGCUACAGCGUGGGCACGGGGGCUCUGCCUCUCCCUAGCUGUGCAGCUGGGCAAGUGACCCCCACUCUGUGUGCGUCCCCUCAUCUCCAGUGUGAAGAGGAGCGACUCUGCCGUCCUUGAUCGUGUGUAGGUCACACAGGAUGAUGCUCCAAAGCCCCCCAAGUACAUGGGACCAUACGUGGACCCAACAUCUGGAAAUGUUGGCGGUCGUUACCACUUGUGAUCCAACCAGCAGGGCUCAAGGUCUCCCCGCACAGCCAGCUCUGGGGCAGAGGCCUGGACCAGGAGGAAAGCCCAAGCUGAGACCUUGCUCUUCUGGGCCCAGGGAGAGCGCGGGGCAAAGGCACUGAGAGAAAACAAAGAGGCAGGGUUUGCAAAGAGAAACCCUGAGGGAACAGACAGAGACUGUUGGGAUCCACAAGCUGGAGACGCAGGUGGGGCUCCACUCAGGGAGGCUGGCUCUCCAGGCCCGCAGCUCACUCCUCCAUCCUUCUGUCUGACCACCACACAUGCCUCAGCUCCUCUGUGAGCACUGACAGCAUUUACUCUGGAAAUACGGAGGCCAGCGGCAUUGUCAGAGACCUCUAUGCCUCCUUUUCAGCCUCAUUUCAGGAGGCUUGAACUAAUAACACAUAAAAACAAGACAACUUGGAACAAAGAUGUGGAAAAGUACUUUGAAAUCGCUUAUGAAUGCUUCGGAAAAGUCAUUUCGGCAAAUACCCAACGCCCGUGCUCUGCAAGCACUGUCUUUAUUUCAGUCAUGGGAGCGCGCUCCUUCGAAUCCUGGCUGGCGAUAGUAGAGGGUUGGCUGUGCAUCCGGCACUGGGCACGGUGUUUCCCCCACGAGAUUCUCCCAUGACAGGUGUAACUGGUAUUCUCAUUUCACAGAUGUGAACGUGGAGGUGUGGUGGGGUUAAGUAAGUUGCUCAAGGGGGCACAGCUCAAGGCUGCAGACUCCAUGCUGUCCCGUGAGUCAAGACAGCAAGGAAUCUGGCUGGUCCAUGGCCAUGUCCCUUGGCAUCUAUCUUCUUACACACAGAAGAUGCCCAGUGAACUCCGCAAACUCUUGGACUCAAUGUGCCCAGCUAGAAUCCGAACUGGAGGGCUUUCGCUGCCACGAUGCCAUUAUCAACAUCCCGGUCUCCACCCAAUGCACAGACGUCAUUACACACACACAGCAAUGAAGAGGGUGCUUUACUCUCCUUUAUCAGGACUGACAAGGCUUCCAGAAGAGGAGGAGCUGCUCUAUCCCUUUCAGCUUGAAGGACACAUCCAGGCACCUCAAGGGCAAAGCGGCUUAAUCAAGCCCAACCCGCCAGAUACCGCCCACUUCUCACCCACCCACACUGGCUGUGGAUGUCUUCUCCAGCCCCCCCACACACCUCGUGCCCUCUGGGGUCCUCCUGCCCACCCCACAGCUAAACGUCAAGCCUCAUCCUUCAUGGUUCGCAUCUCCACACUUUCUCUGCUGUCUCUGUUCCCAUCCUCAGCCUGCCGGCCGAGGUCUCGUGGGCAGGGCCCCUUCCCUGCAAUGCCAGUCUGUACCCUCCAUCCAGCACCACCAGGAGUCCCUUCUCAAAUCUUCCCAUCGAUGAGGCUUCCAGCCCCUCCCAGUGGUGUGAACUUGCUUACACAAAAGAAGAGUCAACAAGGCAGAGUUUCGUUGUCUCUGGAGCUCUUAAAACCUGGGUUCAAGCUCAAGGCUCCCUCCACCGACUCUUUCUCUAAUGCUACCUGGAUAACCUGGGGGUUUCCAGCAUGCAGCCUGCCCCAAUGAAUGCUGCUUCCGAGCAGAUGGUGGAGGGGACUGGGAAAGACUCACUCUGACCCCUGAGUGUGUGAGUGUGUAGAGGGCAGCAGCUAAUGCUGUCCCAGCAGGGGAUAAAGCCAGAGGACACACAGACAGUGACAAUCCCACAAGGACCACCUUCUACAUUUAGAUUGCUCACGUGCACUUGGCUUUGCCUCUAGGAGACUCACACCCAGACCCAUUCUGAAUAAUCAGUGAUAGAUGUGGGCUUGCUCACUUCUGUCCCCGGAAGCCAAACACCAUUGAGAAGGGCAGCAAGAGGUCCAAGGCUCCGACCCACCAGUGGGUGUGGCGUGGCCAGGAAAUGCCUCAGGAUCCAAGCUGUUGCCACUGCCUGGGUCCUGGACACAGACGUGAGCUGCCGGGCUCCCAGGCACUGCACGGGAGACACACACGCAUACCUGUGCAUAGGAGACGAGCACACCGCCGGGGAGGCUGAGGGGGGCCCGUCCUCCUCUGCCUAGCAGACCUCAUCCAAGGAGAGGUCUGACUGCUCUCCUUGAAGAAUUACAGGGCGACUCCGAGUGGAUGAAGACUCUGCUUAAUAUUUUUGGUAAUGAAAACACUUUGUAGGACAAGUGCUUUUUAAGACUCAGAGAUGGGGGAAUCUGAGUGGCAUUUUAAAUGGGCUGUUGGACAAGAUUCGCCACGGCCCUGGUAAAUGUCACACAUUUCACCAGCUGGGCGAAGAGGCAUGUUAGCUAUGUUUCUCCCAAACCUGAUUAAAAUGGAAAGUGCCUUUUGAA
Felis catus (domestic cat) is the source of this 4011-nucleotide long non-coding RNA. RefSeq lists it as uncharacterized. The record is from RefSeq and is a predicted model, not a curated record. The transcript is spliced from 3 exons. Lineage: Eukaryota; Metazoa; Chordata; Mammalia; Carnivora; Felidae.